RNAcentral lists this ribosomal RNA (640 nucleotides) under Edwardsiella tarda. Its description in RNAcentral is "bacterial SSU rRNA". It matches the Rfam family "Bacterial small subunit ribosomal RNA", at positions 798 to 1438 of the family's 1533-position model. Lineage: Bacteria; Pseudomonadati; Pseudomonadota; Gammaproteobacteria; Enterobacterales; Hafniaceae. The record is from RNAcentral.
CGCGGGUUACGAUGUCGAUUUGGAGGUUGUGCCCUUGAGGCGUGGCUUCCGAAGCUAACGCGUUAAAUCGACCGCCUGGGGAGUACGGCCGCAAGGUUAAAACUCAAAUGAAUUGACGGGGGCCCGCACAAGCGGUGGAGCAUGUGGUUUAAUUCGAUGCAACGCGAAGAACCUUACCUACUCUUGACAUCCAGCGAAUCCUGUAGAGAUACGGGAGUGCCUUCGGGAACGCUGAGACAGGUGCUGCAUGGCUGUCGUCAGCUCGUGUUGUGAAAUGUUGGGUUAAGUCCCGCAACGAGCGCAACCCUUAUCCUUUGUUGCCAGCGGUUCGGCCGGGAACUCAAAGGAGACUGCCAGUGAUAAACUGGAGGAAGGUGGGGAUGACGUCAAGUCAUCAUGGCCCUUACGAGUAGGGCUACACACGUGCUACAAUGGCGUAUACAAAGAGAAGCGAACUCGCGAGAGCAAGCGGACCUCAUAAAGUACGUCGUAGUCCGGAUUGGAGUCUGCAACUCGACUCCAUGAAGUCGGAAUCGCUAGUAAUCGUGGAUCAGAAUGCCACGGUGAAUACGUUCCCGGGCCUUGUACACACCGCCCGUCACACCAUGGGAGUGGGUUGCAAAAGAAGUAGGUAGCUUAA